Molecule: ribosomal RNA, 493 nt
Filed under: uncultured bacterium
Lineage: Bacteria
Description: partial 16S ribosomal RNA
Rfam family: Bacterial small subunit ribosomal RNA
Source: RNAcentral
GACGAACGCUGGCGGCGUGCUUAACACAUGCAAGUCGAACGGUGAAGGGACCGGUUUUUGCUGGUUCUGGGUGGGUGGCGAACGGGUGAGUAACACGUGAGUAACCUGCCCCCUUCUUCUGGAGAACCGCAUGAAAGUGUGGCUAAUACGGGAUAUUCUGCGCCUGCUGCAUGGUGGGUGUGGGAAAGAUAUGGUUUCGGUGGGGGAUGGGCUCGCGGCCUAUCAGCUUGUUGGUGGGGUGAUGGCCUACCAAGGCGGUGACGGGUAGGCUGCCUGAGAGGGUGGACGGUACUACUGGGAAUGAGCGACGGACACGACUACGACGGGCGGCAGCAGGGGGGAAUAUUGAACAAUGGGCGGAAGCCUGAUGCCGCGACGCCGCGUGAGCGAUGGAGGCCGUCGGGUUGUAAGCCUCUUUCGGGAGUGAAGCAGGUCUGUCUAUUUUGUGGGUGGGUUGACGGUAGCUGGAUAAGAAGCGCCGGCUAACUACGUG